AUACGGAGGAUCCGAGCGUUAUCCGGAUUUAUUGGGUUUAAAGGGUGCGCAGGCGGGAGAUUAAGUCGGCGGUGAAAUUUUGCAGCUCAACUGUAAAAGUGCCUUCGAAACUGGUUUCCUUGAGUGUAGAUGAAGUAGGCGGAAUUUGUGGUGUAGCGGGGAAAUGCAUAGAUAUCACGAGGAACUCCGAUUGCGCAGGCAGCUUACUAAACUACUACUGACGCUCAGGCACGAAGGCGUGGGGAUCAAACAGGAUUAGAUACCCUGGUAGUCCACGCAGUAAACGAUGAUUACUAGCUGUUUGCGAUACAAUGUAAGCGGCUGAGCGAAAGCGUUAAGUAAUCCACCUGGGGAGUACGUUCGCAAGAAUGAAACUUAAAGGAAUUGACGGGG
Molecule: ribosomal RNA, 393 nt
Filed under: uncultured bacterium
Lineage: Bacteria
Description: partial 16S ribosomal RNA
Rfam family: Bacterial small subunit ribosomal RNA
Source: RNAcentral